CAGUCGCCGCGGGAAAACGAAGGGGGCUAGCGUUGUUCGGAAUUACUGGGCGUAAAGCGCACGUAGGCGGAUAUUUAAGUCAGGGGUGAAAUCCCGCAGCUCAACUGCGGAACUGCCUUUGAUACUGGGUAUCUUGAGUAUGGAAGAGGUUAGUGGAAUUGCGAGUGUAGAGGUGAAAUUCGUAGAUAUUCGCAGGAACACCAGUGGCGAAGGCGGCUAACUGGUCCAUAACUGACGCUGAGGUGCGAAAGCGUGGGGAGCAAACAGGAUUAGAUACCCCAGUAGUCCCUGUCUCUUAUAC
Molecule: ribosomal RNA, 301 nt
Filed under: uncultured bacterium
Lineage: Bacteria
Description: partial 16S ribosomal RNA
Rfam family: Bacterial small subunit ribosomal RNA
Source: RNAcentral